Molecule: ribosomal RNA, 515 nt
Filed under: uncultured bacterium
Lineage: Bacteria
Description: partial 16S ribosomal RNA
Rfam family: Bacterial small subunit ribosomal RNA
Source: RNAcentral
GAUGAACGCUGGCGGCGUGCCUAAUACAUGCAAGUCGAGCGAAUGGAUUAAGAGCUUGCUCUUAUGAAGUUAACGGCGGACGGGUGAGUAACACGUGGGUAACCUGCCCAUAAGACUGGGAUAACUCCGGGAAACCGGGGCUAAUACCGGAUAACAUUUUGAACCGCAUGGUUCGAAAUUGAAAGGCGGCUUCGGCUGUCACUUAUGGAUGGACCCGCGUCGCAUUAGCUAGUUGGUGAGGUAACGGCUCACCAAGGCAACGAUGCGUAGCCGACCUGAGAGGGUGAUCGGCCACACUGGGACUGAGACACGGCCCAGACUCCUACGGGAUGCAGCAGUAGGGAAUCUUCCGCAAUGGACGAAAGUCUGGCGGAGCAACGCCGCGUGAGUGAUGAAGGCUUUCGGGUCGUAAAACUCUGUUGUUAGGGAAGAACAAGUGCUAGUUGAAUAAGCUGGCACCUUGACGGUACCUAACCAGAAAGCCACGGCUAACUACGUGCCAGCCGCCGCGGUAA